RNAcentral lists this small nuclear RNA (286 nucleotides) under Octodon degus (degu). RNAcentral describes it as "7SK RNA (ENSODEG00000025760.1)". It matches the Rfam family "7SK RNA". Rfam says of the family: 7SK was discovered as an abundant small nuclear RNA in the mid-70s but a possible function has only recently been suggested. Two independent studies have found that 7SK RNA binds the CDK9/cyclin T complex (known as elongation factor P-TEFb). Lineage: Eukaryota; Metazoa; Chordata; Mammalia; Rodentia; Octodontidae. The record is from RNAcentral.
GGAUGCGAGGUCAAUCUGGCUGCAACACAUGUGGCCCCACUGGUCACGGGUUGAUUCAGCGGAUCUAGCUGGCCAGGACGGAAUCCCCUCCCUUCCUCACCAUGCCACAAGUGUCCUUCACAAAGUCUCACACUGUGUGGAAGAGCACGGCCACCCCCAUAGAGGAUGACCACUUGAUCAGUCAAGGGGUAGGAGUAGGUGUACUGCUACAGCCUUUAGACAAGAGCUUGAGGAAGGUAUGGCCAGUUAUUUUGGACCAAGUUCUGGACAUUUCAGACUGGAUCUU